AUGUGUUUGUCCUCUGUCCUUUUGUGUUGGCUGUCCCUGUUGCAGGUGGAGACCCAGCUGCUAGUAAAGGGCUUGUUUGUGAUUGAGUUCGACCCAUCUCACAUGCAGGCAGAAUGGUCAGCCCGCAGUAGGAUGAUUCCCUUCAGAACCUGUGUCUGCCCCAGGGGUGAGUCCUGGGCAUCAAGACCUCAGUUCCAGGAAAAAGGUCGCCAGGAUUUUGUGGACGAAGUCAGAGCUCCAGGAAGUGGAUAUCCUUGUGCUAGAGGGAGCCCAAUACCUCAGCGGCAGAAACUUUCCCCUACUUAUGCAGCAGCCAAGGCCCAGCACCCAGGAAAGGAGGCCACCACCUGCGGUGGAGUCCCUGCUGGAGCAGAUCCCCUGAAAUGCAGCCUGGAGGGGCCCUGUCUCCUCCUCUUCCUGGAUGUUCGCCUCUUGUUGCUCCACAGCAGACCUCUGGGGCCAUUGGUGUGGUCCCCUUGA
Molecule: long non-coding RNA, 480 nt
Filed under: Felis catus (domestic cat)
Lineage: Eukaryota; Metazoa; Chordata; Mammalia; Carnivora; Felidae
Description: lncRNA (ENSFCAG00000041716.2)
Source: RNAcentral